UAUACUUGGUUUCACUUGUUUAUAUGACUUACAAUUUAGUUGGGUUAUUUGAUUCGACGUUAUUAAGGCACGCGGGCCAUCUGGUUCAGCCGGACCAUGUGCCACAAUUUCGUCUAUCGUGUCCGGGGCAGACCCUUUUUUCAAAUGCCGUGCGGUAACACAUGGCGGAGGUUUAUAUUCACCAUUUUUUUUCGCACACAACCACAAUAGGACUGAACCAUUUGCACUCCCCUCCGAACACCGUCGUCUUCCUCGCCCCCUCAUUACGCAAGCAGUGAAAUCCCGAGGAGAGAAGCGAUUUGCCGCCGCCUCACCGUAGUCCUAUCCCCGACACCGGCUGCAACUGCGCGCAUUAGUUUUCACUCACCCGCUGAUCGCUCGUCGGCGCUGAGCGUAUUGGUGGACGCAGCGACGGAGUGAACGUAUUCGCCUAUCGGGGGAAUCAGGUUUGUCCUUUAGAUAUUCAUCUUUUUACCCCACCGCCCCGCGUGUUCUACCUCCCGUAGUGAUCUCGCUGUUUAUUUGAGCAGUAUGUUUAUUUUUGGUUCAGGAAUGAUGGAUGCCGCCUCGGGUUCCGACAAUGGCGAUGGGUGCGACGCACUGAGUUCUCUCGAGCGUGCAACCAUGCCCCCCCCUCUAGAUUCAUCCGAACUCCCGGUAUCAUCCGCGGUGCCCGACGGCCAAUCUCCCUUGAUUUCGACUGUGGACUGCGAACCUUGGCGUGAACCCCAAAAGAGUAGAAAGAUGGGGGAGUCCCGGAGGACUACCAACUUCUUAGAAGCUUUGGCUCGGAAGCGAAAAGCAUUAGCGGCGGAGGAAGCCGCCCCUAAUGCGAGAACUCGAGGGACGGAGAACGGAGGUCGAGGAUCCGACGACGACGGAUUGGUCGAACCAAGGACGAAGAAGAAGAAAGUUCUGCGCGAAUCUGGCGCAUCUCAUGCGGCCGGAACACCCGCCGGGAUGAGGACGCGCUCCUCUCCGCGGUUUGUAGGUGCUGAACAAGGUUCUCGGGUUCCUGCCGCCAAUAAAUGGCGGCGAGCGAGGAAAAGUGAGUUGCGGCAGGGAGCAGGGCAGCGGGGUCGAGCUGACAAGGCCCCCUCAAGGUCAAAUAAGGGGGAGGAGAAGAGUGUUAAAAUGACUGAGUUUUCAUAAAGCAAAUGUACGCUGUUGUCCUAAGGAGGUGCUAGAGACGAACCAGAUGCUGAACAAAAACCAGAGGCAAUACGUUUUGAAGAAAGGUUUCAAGAAUAUAUUGUCCAUGCAACUUGACGAUGUUGAGGGCCGGAGCUUACUUUGUUGGUUACUGGACCACAUCGACCUCGAGUCGAUGACCCUACGGGCUGGGAGAGGGAAAGAGCUCAAAUUCUCCAAAGAUGUGGUCCGGCUGGUGCUAGGCCUCCCUAGUGCCGGAUCCACACCUCCAACUGUUUUUGCCAGUGAAAAGUCCAAGCAGGUUUUGAAGUUCAGAGAAGUUAUGAAUUUGGAGAGCCGAGCAUUCGAUGUGGAAACGAUGCAGGACCGCAUCAGAUCGGGGCUUGAUGAUGAUGCAACCAUGAUGUGCUAUUUCAUAGUCAUUUUCCAUAGCAUUCUGUUUCCUCAUGGUAGCUGGGAUAUCAGCAACGAUGAUGUUAUGCUUGCUCAUUGGGCGGUUCAGCUGCCUAAGAUUGAUUGGUGUCAGCUCAUCUACACGGACCUCUGCCACAGUGUCGAGAAGUGGCAAAAAAGGAAGAAGGACAAUCAAACUGCAACGAUGUAUGGAUGUAGCAUUGUUUUUCUUCUAUGGUAUCUUGACAACUUGAACCACGUGGUGUGCCCCCCUGAGAGGUUUAGCACUCCUCGUAUCAAGUACUGGACAAAGGAGAGGAUUCAGGAUGUGUCCGUGUGUGAUCGAGUUCGUACUGGCGAAUAUGGCCAU
Panicum virgatum (switchgrass) is the source of this 1915-nucleotide long non-coding RNA. RefSeq lists it as uncharacterized. NCBI's taxonomy places the organism in Eukaryota, Viridiplantae, Streptophyta, Magnoliopsida, Poales, Poaceae. The record is from RefSeq and is a predicted model, not a curated record. The transcript is spliced from 4 exons.